GAUGAACGCUGGCGGCGUGCCUAAUACAUGCAAGUCGAGCGAACGGACGAGUAUCUUGCUUCUCUGAUGUUAGCGGCGGACGGGUGAGUCACACGUGGAUAACCUACCUAUAAGACUGGGAUAACUUCGGGAAACCGUAGCUCAUACCGGAUAAUAUUUUGAACCGCUUGGUUCAAAAGUGAAUGACGGUCUUGCUGUCACUUAUAGAUGGAUCCGCGCUGCAUUAGCUAGUUGGUAAGGUAACGGCUUACCAAGGCAGCGAUGCAUAGCCGACGUGAGAGGGGGUACGCCCACUCUGGAGCUGAGAGGCGGUCCUGACACCUAGGGGCGGCAGCAGUAGCGAAUGGACCGAGAUGGGCGAAAGCCUGACGGAGCAACGCCGCGUGGGUGAUGAAGGUCUUCGGAUCGGAAGACGCUGUUAGUGGGGUAGAACAUAUGUGUAAGUGACUGAGCACAGCGUGACGGUACCGAAUCAGAAAGCCACGGCUAACUACGUG
RNAcentral lists this ribosomal RNA (497 nucleotides) under uncultured bacterium. RNAcentral describes it as "partial 16S ribosomal RNA". It matches the Rfam family "Bacterial small subunit ribosomal RNA", at positions 28 to 507 of the family's 1533-position model. The record is from RNAcentral.